RNAcentral lists this long non-coding RNA (255 nucleotides) under Prunus persica (peach). Its description in RNAcentral is "long non-coding RNA (PPER_LNC004561)". The record is from RNAcentral. Lineage: Eukaryota; Viridiplantae; Streptophyta; Magnoliopsida; Rosales; Rosaceae.
CUUCAUAAACAAUCAAGUAUAUUAUUUAUUUGCUUACAUAAAUCUAAAUGAAAUUCGUACCUAAAGUUGAAACAGCAGUUCAUAACAUUUUUUAUUAUUUUUUUAAUAUAAGUGAUGGUCUAAACAAUAAAAGGAUGAAAGGUUUCUCACACACACUACUAUGGCAACAUGAAGGUUCGAACCUCAUACCACUUGUUCGCAAAUUAAGACAUUUGAAGAGAUUUUAAGGGAGAAAUUUUGAGAGGUAGAUGACAU